RNAcentral lists this ribosomal RNA (425 nucleotides) under uncultured bacterium. Its description in RNAcentral is "partial 16S ribosomal RNA". It matches the Rfam family "Bacterial small subunit ribosomal RNA", at positions 354 to 796 of the family's 1533-position model. The record is from RNAcentral.
GUAGGGAAUCUUGCGCAAUGGGCGAAAGCCUGACGCAGCCAUGCCGCGUGAAUGAUGAAGGUCUUAGGAUUGUAAAAUUCUUUCACCGGGGACGAUAAUGACGGUACCCGGAGAAGAAGCCCCGGCUAACUUCGUGCCAGCAGCCGCGGUAAUACGAAGGGGGCUAGCGUUGCUCGGAAUUACUGGGCGUAAAGGGAGCGUAGGCGGAUAGUUUAGUCAGAGGUGAAAGCCCAGGGCUCAACCUUGGAAUUGCCUUUGAUACUGGCUAUCUUGAGUGUGGAAGAGGUAUGUGGAACUCCGAGUGUAGAGGUGAAAUUCGUAGAUAUUCGGAAGAACACCAGUGGCGAAGGCGACAUACUGGUCCAUUACUGACGCUGAGGCUCGAAAGCGUGGGGAGCAAACAGGAUUAGAAACCCUGGUAGUCC